Non-coding RNA from Chlorocebus sabaeus (green monkey), 5304 nucleotides. The record is from RefSeq and is a predicted model, not a curated record. NCBI's taxonomy places the organism in Eukaryota, Metazoa, Chordata, Mammalia, Primates, Cercopithecidae.
GCACAUGCCUGUAGUCACAGCUACUUGGGAGGCUGACAUGAAAGGAUUGCAAUGAGCCAAGAUCGUGCCACUGCACUCCUGCCAGGGUUCCAAAGUGAGACUCGGUCUUGAAAAAAAAAAUUCUCAAGUAAACAACCUAUCUAUCAGAGAGUAACUGAAUUUUAAUAUAUCCAUUGACUGGCCUAGAAUUCCAUUAUUAAGAUAAUAUGAAACUAAAUUAUCGACAUGAAAAAAUGAAAUAGCAUAUAAUUUUUCUUCAAAUAUUAUAUAAUUUUAAGGAAAAUGUAGUUUACGAUGUUGUGUUUAGUAUAUACAACUUUUUAUAAAAUAUAUAGUUGUCUGUUUGCGUGCAUGUGCACAGGCAUGAAGAAGUAGAAAGAGAUACAGGUUCACAAUCCUUUUUUUCAUUUUGUAGGCCCAUCCUCUUUCAUAUUUUAGAAUGGUAUUUUGAUGUAUAUGUCAUGUAUUAUCCAUUCCAGUAGGGACUAGUGGAACACCUCAAUAUUAAACAUACCGAUACCUCUGCAGUGAAAAAUGUUGAUAUUCACACUAGGUAGAAUAAAUAAAGACUAUAAGUAAUGUUAAAUCAGUUCAGGCGUGAGUCUUUUGAAUUUUAGAAUCAGAAAGGAAGACAUGGAGAUUUACUCAACAAAAAAUUAACAAUAGUUCUCUCUAAGUAGUAAAUUAUAGGCAAUUUAACUCUAAAAUGCAACUUCUCUAUUUUCAGUCCACAAUUAUGUAAUGACUUCUUACAAUACACUAGACACUGUUUUAGAUAUUUAUUUUAGUACAAUGUUUGCAAUAAAUAAGAAUUUUUCUUAAAAUUGGGAAAAAUAUAGUCAUAAUUUUGAGAAGAGUGAAAAUUAAACUCAAAGACACAUAACAUUUUUUAAAACAAUUUGAAAUUAUUUUAAUAUAAAACAUGGAUAUCUGAACAUCAGGAGUUUGUAAUAUUUGUUGUUUUUCCCAGGAGUAAAGUAUCUUUUUGUAGGGAAACUAUUGACUUGCUAAAAAUCAAACAGGAGAGGAGUAACUGGCCCUGCAGUCAAAUGUAAGCAAUUCAUCCCUGGAGGGUCACUACAGAUUCCAGUUCAAUGACAGACUAGUUGAAAUCCAAAAGUCACUAGACCAGCAGUGCCUGAAUCUCAACUACACAGGCCUACAGGCACAUUGUCUCAGUGGAGCAGCUCCAUCUCUGGAAUAUCUGUCAUUGCACACACACACACACACACACACACACACACACACAAUCAAGGGUCCAGAAAUCUCAAAUGUUUACAUCUCAUCUGGGCUUAAAGAACUCUUUUUUUUACAAGUUACUUAAUUCUAUGUUUUGUUUUGUUUUGUUUUGUAACAUAACUGAAAAAGUUAUGUCACCUUCUUAUUGGUGUGUUAGAAACAUUUGUAUAAAUAUAAACAACAAAGUACGUAAUUUUCUCCAACAGAUAAAAAAAGCAAAAGAGUUGUUCUCUUUCCUGAUAGCCUGUUUUCCCCUUCCUUCUUUUCAAAUCACGUAAAUCAGGUUGUCACAUACAGCUUGGAAAAUAGAGUAUUCCUCUCUCUGAAGGUGUGUAAGUUUAUUCAAGUAGAGUCAGGUAAUUUAUACAAGCUAUAUACUUAAUAUAAAAAAGACAAAGUAUGAAACUCUUCCCCUAGUCUAAUUUGAUUUGAGGAUCUUGAUACCCCUUUUCUUGGAAGGACAAAAUAUCACAAAUAUAAAAUGGUGCAUCCAGUAGCAUGGGCAUAAAUAGCUCAAGCUGAAAGCAUAACAAUAUGCUCUCCUUCUAUUAUUGCAGAACCAAUAAAUAAGCAUAAUGAAAAUCAUGACACAUUAUUAUAUUAUUCUGUAUUGCUUCUGUUCAUUUAAAAAACAGAUGAGUGCAUUUAAAAUAAUUUUAUGUCAAAUGACAGUAAGCUUUUUCAUUGAGAUGAUGCUGAAAGGGAUAUUUGUAAAGAGCAGAGAUGCGUGGUCUUAUAUGGCUUAUAUCAGUGUUAUGACAGAAGUACAAGGAAUCUGACUACUAACUACUUCACACCAAGAUGGCUGUAGCCUGGUAUCCAAAACAUGUACAUUAUUCACAUGUGCUAUAUGUUUUCUGAUAUUAUGGAGUCAAUAAAAAACAAAAAGCUUUAGGAAAAGAUUCCAUGUCAGUUUGCCCUUGGAUGGAUUAUCUUUUUUCCUUUGCCUUGUUGAUUUAAUAUACUAGAUUAUAUUAACAGCACUGGCUUGUAAAUAAGUAAUAUCUGAAUCUUAUUAAUGGAGAUAUGCUGCCAAAAUAAUCAGCUUCAUACUUAACAAGUUUCCAAGUAUUUGGGAAAGCUGUGAAAUGGGAUUGCAAGGUUAAGCUGUGUACAUCUGGCUCAUCACUAUAUAAAUAUUUCAGAAAUUUGAUCUCAUAGGAUGAAGAAACACCUGUUUAAUCAUGACUCUUUUCCAAGGUACAUGAACUUCAGUAAGCAGAGCAAUACACAAAUGCUGGCAAGAAAUCUUGAUCAAUUUACAUAAUGUACUUCCUAUAUUAGACACACAGUUUUAUCAUACAUCAUCCUUCUGAGUAGAGACAUAAAAAUAUUCUAGAAAGAUUAUGUAGUAUUAUACUUAUAUUGGCAAAAUGAAUUGGGAGUGCCCAACAUUUUAAAACUUGAGAUAACCACCUGAAAUACUAAAUAGUUUCAUUGAUUUUUUUUUCCUUGUAUCAUGGUAUGUGAUUUUAGUGUAAUUGAACGUUGUAAGUAUAACUCUAAGGUAAUAUGGAUCCUGAAAAUAAUUAAUGAGAGGUAGGAAUUUGCAUAUAAAAUAACAAUAAAAACUUGAACAGUCCCUCUAGUUAACAGAAAUGUUAAUGAAUUUGAACAUUAGUUGCUUUUAACCAGAUCCAAGAUUAAAUAACUGUGUUGACUCUUUGUCAAAUAUACACUUGCCCAUUAAGCCUGCCUUUAUUUUUUCAAAUUUUGUUCCAACAAAUAAAUGGGCUUUAAAAAUGCACUGAGUAUGACUCUUAUCUAAUUAACUUCAAAUGUCCAACUUGAAAAUACAGACUUUGAGGCUGUUGUCCAAAACGGCAGUUAAAGGUCAAUGAAUAAAAUUUCCAAUUAUAUUUCCUGGGAGCAGAUGGGUGCAAUGAAACCUAAUGAUUGAAUUUUAAAUGCUUUCAUGCACCUUUUAUCUGUUUUCCAACAUGUUGAUUAUACCUUAAUGCUGUGUCAAGAUAAUAGGUUUAUUACAAUUAACCAACUGAAAAGGUAUCUCCACUUUCCAAUUAUUUAUAUUACCUGGGGAUAUUGAACCACAGCUCCUUUCCUUCCAUCACCCCUAGAGCCUUUCUAUCACCAUCCCACACUUUUAACCAAAAAAAUCCAAACCAUAAUAUCAUCAAAUAACAGAUGUCUCCUUGGCGAUUUGAUUUCUCUAGUUAAAUAAUGGGUAUUUAACAUAAAUGUCAAGUUUAAGUUCACGGAGACUCAAUGGAAAAUUUCAAAUAAAAAUAAUUUUAAGAAAUGUGUUGACUAAAUUUAACUAUAAAGUUUCUUUCCUUAUAUGAUGAACUGAUACAUUAGCUUAAUCUGACUUGCAUAGUCGUAAGUAUAGAAAGAAGGUUUACCAAGAGGUUAAAAAAAUUAACAUUCUAUUCUCCAGGAGUAGCAGAUGGAGAGUUUUAUCUCAACUACAUCUUAUUAGAGCACACUCUUGCCUGAAGAACCACAAGAGGAAAUCAUGCAGAGAAGUUUAUUUCAUUGCUUUUAUAUAAAAGAAAAUCAACAUUUUACAUCUUAAAAUAUAUACUCAAGCCUAAAUUAAAGGAAAUUGAAGAAGCCUUUUAUUUUAGCUAAUAAACAAAAGCUUCUUGUCUAUUAAAUGCAUUUUUAAAAUGAGAAACAUACUACUACUCAACCCAGUCCACCCCUGUAUAUAUGUACUAUGUAAAGUCAACUAUACAGAGCCCAGGCCCAAAUGUACAUGUGGUUAAAUAUUAAUCUGGUGAUAAAUACCACCAUGCCUUAUCAACAUAUUUAUUUGAAUAUUUUUAAAAAGUACACUAGAUGUAAAUAUAUAGGUAUUAAAGUAUCCCUGUGAUAAGCAUAUUUUCUUCUGAUGUCACAGAAAAGAGACCAGAGGCAAGGAUAAAAAUAAUAUAAUUAGAAUAGGUCAGCAUAAGACAUAAAUAAUAAUUUAUUUCCUUUUCUUUCACUCAAAAUCAUGUAUUUUGGACAAUACUUUUAAAAUGUUUAAAUGACUUUUCAAAGUCUUUUAAACACAUGACAUAUGUUUUUAGAUUAUAAGGUUUGAUAUGAAGACUAAAAACUGCUUGCCAACUGGUGUAUUUAUGAAACGUUCAGAUUUUUACCAACAUUAUUUGGAAGUUGCAUUGCCAGUAGAUGUCCAAGUUGCAUAUUUUAAAAGAAAGCAUGUAUGAACGUAUGAUAGUUUAAGAAAAAUUCACAGAAACAGUAAAAUGCAAACAGAUUAUGGAAUAUCACAGGGGCAGUUUCUGGUUGAUAGUGUCUAAGAGAAAAUCUGUUCCUGACACACAGGGUUUCUUGUAGUAACAUGUAACCAAGAUUUAUUUUGAUAUCCCCCUCCAUCAGGAUUGAGUAGCACUGGUUGCUGAUGUGCCUUAUUUUCAAAAAUGCCAAAUAUUUCAGGGAGAAGUAACAGAUGGACUUGAACUCUUACUAUAAUGCUUAGACAAAUGUGGAUAUAAAUUCUGCUUUGAGAACUUCUUAUUUGUGGGAUAAUCUUAUGUGAUAUUUAAUACUGUUAGUUUAAUCUUUCGGAAAAAUUCUCUCAUCUACGAAGGUUGAAAAUGAAUUCUAAACAUUUUAAAAUUACAUUUCUAUGCUUCCUUCUAUUUUUCCUUCACUUUUUAUUUCAGCUACUCUGACUAAUGGGGAUAAUUGAAUUUUUAAUAUGUUUGAAAACUCAUUCUGCCUAAAAUCUUUAUUCUAUAAAACCUCCUUAUGGUCUAAUAUGAAUUUUAAAAUGUAAAAUUCAGACAAACAGUAACUAACUCUCAGUAUAGCUUACAAGUACUAAAUAAUACAACUUCACAUGUACCCCAUAAAUUUGCACAAAUAAAAAAAAUGAAAAACCAGUGAACCAUUUCAAUUAAUAGCUUUUAUAAUUAUUUCAUGAUUUAUUCAUUGAAUUAAUAAUUAUAGAUUAAACAGCUCUGAACGUUGUGGAUGUCUUUUUAAUAACAAUACUGAAAUGGACAACAUACUGUUUAUAUGAAGACUUAGCUUGCAUUUACUCAAUAUUUGCAUAAAAAUUUCAUUAGCACAUACAUAUGACAGAUUCUGAAA